CUAGGCAAAAUGGCACCGUAACUUCGGGAGAAGGUGCGCCGGUUUUGGUGAAAGGGCUUGCCCCUCGAGCUGAGGCCGGCCGAAGAUACCAGUCCCCUGCAACUGUUUAUUAAAAACACAGCACUCUGCAAACACGUAAGUGGACGUAUAGGGUGUGACGCCUGCCCGGUGCCGGAAGGUUAAUUGAUGGGGUUAGCGUAAGCGAAGCUCUUGAUCGAAGCUCCGGUAAACGGCGGCCGUAACUAUAACGGUCCUAAGGUAGCGAAAUUCCUUGUCGGGUAAGUUCCGACCUGCACGAAUGGCGUAAUGAUGGGGGAGCUGUCUCCACCCGAGACUCAGUGAAAUUGAAAUCGCGGUUAAGAUGCCGUGUACCCGCGGCUAGACGGAAAGACCCCGUGAACCUUUACUGUAGCUUUGCACUGAACUUUGAACCUAUCUGUGUAGGAUAGGUGGGAGGCUUUGAAGUCGAGACGCUAGUUUCGAUGGAGCCGUCCUUGAAAUACCACCCUGGUAUGUUUGAGGUUCUAACCUAGGUCCGUUAUCCGGACUGGGGACAGUGUAUGGUGGGCAGUUUGACUGGGGCGGUCUCCUCCCAAAGAGUAACGGAGGAGCACGAAGGUUGGCUAAUCCUGGUCGGAAAUCAGGAGGUUAGUGUAAUGGCACAAGCCAGCUUGACUGCGAGACAGACAUGUCGAGCAGGUACGAAAGUAGGUCAUAGUGAUCCGGUGGUUCUGUAUGGAAGGGCCAUCGCUCAACGGAUAAAAGGUACUCCGGGGAUAACAGGCUGAUACCGCCCAAGAGUUCACAUCGACGGCGGUGUUUGGCACCUCGAUGUCGGCUCAUCACAUCCUGGGGCUGAAGCCGGUCCCAAGGGUAUGGCUGUUCGCCAUUUAAAGUGGUACGCGAGCUGGGUUUAGAACGUCGUGAGACAGUUCGGUCCCUAUCUGCCGUGGGCGUUGGAGAUUGAGAAGAGUUGUUCCUAGUACGAGAGGACCGGAAUGAACGCACCUCUGGUGUUCGGGUUGUCAUGCCAAUGGCAUCGCCCGGUAGCUACGUGCGGACAGGAUAACCGCUGAAAGCAUCUAAGCGGGAAGCCUCCUUCAAGAUUAGAUCUCCCUGGAACUUUAAGUUCCCUGUAGAGCCGUUGGAGACUACGACGUUGAUAGGUUGGGUGUGGAAGCGUCGCGAGGCGUUGAGCUAACCAAUACUAAUUGCUCGUGCGGCUUGACCAU
This 1232-nucleotide ribosomal RNA is filed under the name metagenome. RNAcentral's name for it is "bacterial LSU rRNA". It matches the Rfam family "Bacterial large subunit ribosomal RNA", at positions 1713 to 2925 of the family's 2925-position model. The record is from RNAcentral.